RNAcentral lists this ribosomal RNA (475 nucleotides) under uncultured bacterium. RNAcentral's name for it is "bacterial SSU rRNA". It matches the Rfam family "Bacterial small subunit ribosomal RNA", at positions 30 to 498 of the family's 1533-position model. The record is from RNAcentral.
AUUGAACGCUGGCGGCAUGCUUUACACAUGCAAGUCGAACGGUAACAGGGAGCUUGCUCCGCUGACGAGUGGCGAACGGGUGAGUAAUGCAUCGGAACAUGCCCAGUCAUGGGGGAUAACUACGCGAAAGCGUAGCUAAUACCGCAUACGCCCUGAGGGGGAAAGUGGGGGAUCUUAGGACCUCACGUGAUUGGAGUGGCCGAUGUCAGAUUAGCUAGUUGGUGAGGUAAAGGCUCACCAAGGCGACGAUCUGUAGCGGGUCUGAGAGGAUGAUCCGCCACACUGGGACUGAGACACGGCCCAGACUCCUACGGGAGGCAGCAGUGGGGAAUUUUGGACAAUGGGCGAAAGCCUGAUCCAGCCAUUCCGCGUGCAGGAUGAAGGCCCUCGGGUUGUAAACUGCUUUUGUACGGAACGAAACGGCCUUUUCUAAUACAGAGGGCUAAUGACGGUACCGUAAGAAUAAGCACCGGCU